GCAACGUCAAAAGGUGCAAACCAGAAAUCAAAACCUACCGAAAAGAAUUGGUUGAUCAUUCUGAUAAUAAUUUUGGCGUUUGUUACAGGCAUUCAUUGCUUUUGACGUUGACACAUUCAUUGGUAAGGGUAAAACCAGGGUUUCAUUGUAUACCACCAUAUGUGAACAUUGCAAAUGACGUAUUCAUUUCAACUUUCAACAUUAUGUCUUUUUUUUUAAACAUUGAAGUAAUGAAAGAACAUUCUGUUGAUAAGUUUGUUUACAAAAAAUUGCACAUUUGAAAAUGGGAAUUAAAAAGAAAAAUCUAGUCUUGCGUUUCUAAAGUCGGUCAGUAAAUUAUGUUUGUUUUAAUUGUUUGGGGUUUUAAGUAAUAGUUAUUUGUCAUUUUUUUUUUGUAAGAUUCAUGAGUUUGUUUGCUCGACGGUGGACCUUUUUGUUCUGAAUUUAUAAACCUAUCAUUGUGUUAGUUAAUUUUCGUAUUCCUUGUUUAUCAUUGGUAAAUUAAAAUAACACUACACAUUCCAUGGGUCUUAAGCUUUUGGUCGUUUUACUUUGAUCAAAAACGCUCAAACCCAAACAUUCGAAUGACAGGGAUGUAGUAUAAGUAGAAAUAUAAUGCGAUAUCUGAUCAAAUUGAACGUUAAAAGAAAAGCUAUGUACGUUCAUUUUAGGGGAAAUUUGCCUGAGUUUUUUGCAAAAUUUCGCAAGUUACGGGAACGAACAUGCAAGGGCCUUGAAUAGAACUUUUCGUAAAGUGUUUGCAAAAAUGCUUCAUUUUAUUUGUUGUGUACUAUUUUAUCAGGAAAGAUGUAUAAAGUUUCAAC
Molecule: long non-coding RNA, 824 nt
Filed under: Mytilus galloprovincialis (Mediterranean mussel)
Lineage: Eukaryota; Metazoa; Mollusca; Bivalvia; Mytilida; Mytilidae
Source: RNAcentral